AGUGAACGCUGGCGGUAGGCCUAACACAUGCAAGUCGUACGGCAGCACAGUAAGAGCUUGCUCUUACGGGUGGCGAGUGGCGGACGGGUGAGGAAUACAUCGGAAUCUACUUUUUCGUGGGGGAUAACGUAGGGAAACUUACGCUAAUACCGCAUACGACCUACGGGUGAAAGCAGGGGAUCUUCGGACCUUGCGCGAUUGAAUGAGCCGAUGUCGGAUUAGCUAGUUGGCGGGGUAAAGGCCCACCAAGGCGACGAUGCGUAGCUGGUCUGAGAGGAUGAUCGGCGACACGAGAAAUGAGACACGGACGAGAGUCCUACGGGAGGCAGCAGUAGGGAAUGGUGCGCAAUGGGCGCAAGCCGGACGGAGCAACGGUGCGUGAGUGAUGAAGGUCUUCGGAUCGUAAACCGCUGUUAUUAGGGAAGAACAAAUGUGUAAGUAAAUAUGCACGUCUUGACGGUACCUAAUCAGAAAGCCACGGCUAACUACGUG
This 492-nucleotide ribosomal RNA is filed under the name uncultured bacterium. RNAcentral's name for it is "partial 16S ribosomal RNA". It matches the Rfam family "Bacterial small subunit ribosomal RNA", at positions 29 to 507 of the family's 1533-position model. The record is from RNAcentral.